GAUGAACGCUGGCGGCGUGCCUAAUACAUGCAAGUCGAGCGAACAGAUCGGAUCUUGCUCCUCUGACGUUGGCGGCGGACGGGUGAGUAACACGUGGGUAACCUUUCUCUAAGACUGGAAUUACUCCGGGAAACCGGGGCUAAUGCCGGAUAACAUGUUGAACCGCAUGGUUCUACAGUGUAAGGCGGCUUUGCUGUCACUUAUCGAUGGACCAGCGCCGUUUUAGCUAGUUGGGGCGGUAACGGCUUACCAAGGCAACGAGCCGUAACCGACCUGAGAGGGUGGUCGGCCACACUGGAAGUGAGACGCGGUCCUGACUCCUGCGGUAGGCAGCAGUAGAGAAUCUUACGCAAUGGUGGAGAGCCUUACAGAGCAACGGGGCGUAAGUGAUGAAGGUGCUCGGAGCGGAAAGCUCUGUUAUGAGUUGUGAACAAAUGCGUAAUUAACUGUGCGGUUCUUGACGGUACCGGGUCAAAAAGCCACGGCUAACUACGUG
RNAcentral lists this ribosomal RNA (496 nucleotides) under uncultured bacterium. RNAcentral describes it as "partial 16S ribosomal RNA". It matches the Rfam family "Bacterial small subunit ribosomal RNA", at positions 28 to 507 of the family's 1533-position model. The record is from RNAcentral.